Long non-coding RNA from Erinaceus europaeus (western European hedgehog), 247 nucleotides. RefSeq lists it as uncharacterized. Lineage: Eukaryota; Metazoa; Chordata; Mammalia; Eulipotyphla; Erinaceidae. The transcript has 3 exons. The record is from RefSeq and is a predicted model, not a curated record.
CCCCAGGGCAGCAGGUCUGCAAGGCCAGGCAGUAGAGAAGGAGCCAGCAGGGGAGAGGUUCCUGCACAGCAUUAGAUGUGUCUGACUUCUAAGGAAAAUGAGACUCCAGACACAUUGAUGGGGCAUCAACAAGACUGUGGAUAGGAAAUGAGUGAGCUGCCAACUAUUGAGCUGCUGAGCCGGAGACCACAAGACUCCACUUCUGUCCCCAUCAUCGCAGAGCCCUGCCAUCUGGAGCAGACCUCUG